UUCAAAUCCCAACAACGAAGAUUUAGUCACUCAUCCUCGCUAUCACAAUGCUCGAUUCAUGAAAAUAUACAAGAAAAUUGGAUUUAGAGUCGUUCCCACGACUUGUAUCAUCUUUCCUAGUGUUUCUCUCCUAAAUUUAGUGCCUCAAAGCUUUGGAAAAGUGAUUGUAUAACUCCUUCUGACUUCCGAAACCGCCCAUAUCAGUUCCACUUCCAAACCCUCGCCCAAGCUAUAGAUUCUCGCUUGGGCGAGAGAAUAUGAGACUUCCAAGCCUGAGCACCUAGCUUGGGUGAGGUGCCCCUCGCUUGGGUGAGGAUUCUUCCCUUAAGCGAGGAUCAGGCAGAAUAAACAUGUCUCUUUAGCUCCAUUUGUCGCUUGAGCGACAGUCCCUCGGUUGGGCAAGGGGC
RNAcentral lists this long non-coding RNA (407 nucleotides) under Lupinus angustifolius (narrow-leaved blue lupine). RNAcentral describes it as "long non-coding RNA (LANG_LNC002329)". Lineage: Eukaryota; Viridiplantae; Streptophyta; Magnoliopsida; Fabales; Fabaceae. The record is from RNAcentral.